Molecule: non-coding RNA, 129 nt
Filed under: Protocruzia adhaerens
Lineage: Eukaryota; Ciliophora; Spirotrichea
Source: RNAcentral
UGGAUCGUCUCCGUCAUUUUGAUGAAAGUGGUGUUGAUGUGCUUCUUUUUGUUGUUUAUGGAGGAAGUCGCAGUUUUCUCUGGAUGGAUUUUCAACGGAUUCAACAAUUCUCCUCAUCUCAAAUUGAUU